Molecule: ribosomal RNA, 444 nt
Filed under: uncultured bacterium
Lineage: Bacteria
Description: partial 16S ribosomal RNA
Rfam family: Bacterial small subunit ribosomal RNA
Source: RNAcentral
GUAGGGAAUAUUGGGCAAUGGUCGGAAGACUGACCCAGCCAUGCCGCGUGCAGGAAGACGGCCCUCUGGGUUGUAAACUGCUUUUAUCUGGGAAGAAAAAGGCCAUGCGUGGCAAAUUGCCGGUACCAGAUGAAUAAGCACCGGCUAACUCCGUGCCAGCAGCCGCGGUAAUACGGAGGGUGCGAGCGUUGUCCGGAUUUAUUGGGUUUAAAGGGUGCGUAGGCGGCUGAUUAAGUCAGCGGUGAAAGACUUCGGCUUAACCGGAGCAGUGCCGUUGAUACUGGUUGGCUUGAGUGUCGGAGGGGUACAUGGAAUUGAUGGUGUAGCGGUGAAAUGCAUAGAUACCAUCAGGAACACCGAUAGCGAAGGCAUUGUACUGGCCGACAACUGACGCUGAUGCACGAAAGCGUGGGGAUCGAACAGGAUUAGAAACCCGGGUAGUCC